GGAAAGAGCCCAAACCAAUGUGCUUGCAUAUUGGGGUUGUAGGACUCUCAAUAAAGUGUAUGACAAAGUAUAGUAGAACUAGCUGGAAAGUUAGACCGUAGAAGGUAAAAGUCCUGUAUACGAAAUGCUAAGUUGGCGCGAGAGAGCACCUGAGUACGGCGGAACACGAGGAAUUCCGUCGGAAUCUACCAGGACCAUCUGGUAAGGCUAAAUACUACCUAGUGACCGAUAGUGAACCAGUACCGUGAGGGAAAGGUGAAAAGAACCCCGGGAGGGGAGUGAAAGAGAACCUGAAACCGUGUGCUUACAAGUAGUCAGAGCCCCUUGAGGGUGAUGGCGUGCCUUUUGUAGAAUGAACCGGCGAGUUACUUUAUCAUGCGAGGUUAAGUGGAAGACAUGGAGCCGCAGCGAAAGCGAGUCUUAAUAGGGCGAAAUAGUAUGAUGGAGUAGACCCGAAACCAAGUGAUCUACCCAUGGCCAGGUUGAAGUUUAGGUAACACUGAAUGGAGGACCGAACCAGGACACGUUGAAAAGUGUUUGGAUGAGCUGUGGGUAGCGGAGAAAUUCCAAUCGAACUUGGAAAUAGCUGGUUCUCUCCGAAAUAGCUUUAGGGCUAGCCUCGUUGUGAGUUUACUGGAGGUAGAGCACUGUUUGGACUAGGGGCCCAUCCCGGGUUACCGAAUUCAGACAAACUCCGAAUGCCAGAUAAAUAUCAACGGGAGUCAGACUGCGGGUGAUAAGGUUCGUAGUCGAAAGGGAAACAGCCCAGACCGCCAGCUAAGGUCCCAAAUUGUAUGUUAAGUGGAAAAGGAUGUGAUGAUGCACAGACAACCAGGAUGUUGGCUUAGAAGCAGCCACCAUUUAAAGAGUGCGUAAUAGCUCACUGGUCGAGUGACAUCGCGCCGAAAAUGUACCGGGGCUAAACAUACAACCGAAGCUGCGGAUAUAACUAAUGUUAUAUGGUAGGAGAGCGUUCUAACAUCAUAGAAGCCGAACUGGAAGGUGAGGUGGAGAGGUUAGAAGUGAGAAUGCCGGUGUGAGUAGCGAAAGAUAGGUGAGAAUCCUAUCCACCGAAUGACUAAGGUUUCCAGAGGAAGGCUCGUCCGCUCUGGGUAAGUCGGGACCUAAGGUGAAGCCGAAUGGUGAAGCCGAUGGACAACAGGUAGAAAUUCCUGUACCACCAAAUAUCGAUUGAGAGAAGUGGGGACAGAGGAGGCUAAUUGAUCGUCCUGAUGGAAUAGGACGUCUAAGCACAAAGGUUGAGUAGUAGGCAAAUCCGCUGCUCAUAAGACUGAAGUGUGAUGGGGAGCGAAAUUUAGUAGCGAAGUCAAUGAAGCUAAACUCUCAAGAAAAGCCGCUAUCGAGAUAAGAGGUGCCCGUACCGCAAACCGACACAGGUAGUUGGGAAGAGAAUUCUAAGGUGAGCGAGAGAACCAUCGUUAAGGAACUCGGCAAAAUGACCCCGUAACUUCGGGAGAAGGGGUGCCUACGAGAGUAGGCCGCAGUGAAUAGGCCCAAGCGACUGUUUAACAAAAACACAGGUCUCUGCAAAACCGUAAGGUGAAGUAUAGGGGCUGACGCCUGCCCGGUGCUGGAAGGUUAAGAGGAGUGCUUAGCGAAAGCGAAGGUAUGAAUUGAAGCCCCAGUAAACGGCGGCCGUAACUAUAACGGUCCUAAGGUAGCGAAAUUCCUUGUCGGGUAAGUUCCGACCCGCACGA
Molecule: ribosomal RNA, 1718 nt
Filed under: Parahaemophilus parainfluenzae
Lineage: Bacteria; Pseudomonadati; Pseudomonadota; Gammaproteobacteria; Pasteurellales; Pasteurellaceae
Description: Haemophilus parainfluenzae (human gut metagenome) partial 23S ribosomal RNA
Rfam family: Bacterial large subunit ribosomal RNA
Source: RNAcentral